GUCUACGGACAUGCUACCCUGAACAAGCCCGAUCCCGUCUGAUCUCGGAAGUUAACCAGGGUCGGGCCUGGUUAGUACUUGGAUGGGAGACCACCUAAGAAGACCAGGUGCUACAGACA
This 119-nucleotide ribosomal RNA is filed under the name Pteropus alecto (black flying fox). The record is from RNAcentral. Lineage: Eukaryota; Metazoa; Chordata; Mammalia; Chiroptera; Pteropodidae.